GAUGAACGCUGGCGGCGUGCCUAAUACAUGCAAGUCGAGCGAACAGACGAGGAGCUUGCUCCUCUGACGUUAGCGGCGGACGGGUGAGUAACACGUGGAUAACCUACCUAUAAGACUGGGAUAACUUCGGGAAACCGGAGCUAAUACCGGAUAAUAUAUUGAACCGCAUGGUUCAAUAGUGAAAGACGGUUUUGCUGUCACUUAUAGAUGGAUCCGCGCCGCAUUAGCUAGUUGGUAAGGUAACGGCUUACCAAGGCAACGAUGCGUAGCCGACCUGAGAGGGUGAUCGCCCACACUGGAACGGAGACACGGUCCAGACUCCUACGGGAGGCAGCAGUAGGGAAUCUUCCGCAAUGGGCGAAGGCCGGACGGAGCAACGCCGCGUGAGUGAUGAAGGUCUUCGGAUCGUAAAACUCUGUUAUUAGGGGGGAACAAAUGUGUAAGUAACUAUGCACGUCUUGACGGUACCUAAUCAGAAAGCCACGGCUAACUACGUG
RNAcentral lists this ribosomal RNA (497 nucleotides) under uncultured bacterium. RNAcentral describes it as "partial 16S ribosomal RNA". It matches the Rfam family "Bacterial small subunit ribosomal RNA", at positions 28 to 507 of the family's 1533-position model. The record is from RNAcentral.